This 460-nucleotide ribosomal RNA is filed under the name uncultured bacterium. RNAcentral describes it as "partial 16S ribosomal RNA". It matches the Rfam family "Bacterial small subunit ribosomal RNA", at positions 338 to 795 of the family's 1533-position model. The record is from RNAcentral.
CCUACGGGGUGCAGCAGUGAGGAAUAUUGGUCAAUGGACGGAAGUCUGAACCAGCCAUGCCGCGUGCAGGAAGACGGCUCUAUGAGUUGUAAACUGCUUUUGUACAAGGGUAAACCUGAAUACGUGUAUUCAGCUGAAAGUACUGUACGAAUAAGGAUCGGCUAACUCCGUGCCAGCAGCCGCGGUAAUACGGAGGAUCCAAGCGUUAUCCGGAUUUAUUGGGUUUAAAGGGUGCGUAGGCGGAUGGAUAAGUUAGAGGUGAAAUGUCCGAGCUUAAGUCGGGAACUGCCUCUAAUACUGGUGUUCUAGAGAGUGGAUGCGGUAGGCGGAAUGUAUGGUGUAGCGGUGAAAUGCUUAGAGAUCAUACAGAACACCGAUUGCGAAGGCAGCUUACCAAUCUAUAUCUGACGUUGAGGCACGAAAGCGUGGGGAGCAAACAGGAUUAGAUACCCCAGUAGUC